ACCCAAGGUUUCCUGGGCAAUGAUUUUCAUCUCAGGGUUAGUCGGGAGCUAAGUCCAGGCCGAUUGGCGUAGGCGAUGCACAGCGGGUUAAUAUUCCCGCACCGGCUUUGGUUAAACCAUGAUGUGCGCGGUAUCUGAGAGAGCCUGCCGGCUGAAAGUGGCAGCAGAGUGCGGGGUAACCCAAUCUCGGUCUCUUGAUUUGACCGCCUAGAAAAGCAUUAUGGCCCUUUCCAAGGCCGCCCGUACCGCAAACCGACACAGGUGGGUGUGUAGAAUAUACCAAGGCGUAAGAGUGAAACCUCGUUAAGGAACUCUGCAAUCUAGUCCCGUAACUUCGGAAGAAGGGAUGCCCAAGCUUGCUUGGGUCGCAGUGAAAGGGGACAACCGACUGUUUAUCAAAAACACAGCAUUGUGCCAAGACGAAAGUCCAAGUAUACGAUGUGACACGUGACCAAUGCCGAAAGAUUAAGGCAAGGGGUUAGCCGCAAGGCGAAGCUCUGAACCUAAGUCCCGGUGAAUGUCGGCCGUAACAAUAACGGUCCUAAGGUAGCGAAAUUCCUUGUCGGGUAAGUUCCGACCUGCACGAAUCGUGUAACGAGUUGUCCGCUGUCUCAACGAGGGGCUCAGUGAAAUUGUAAUAGCAGUGAAGAUGCUGCUUACCCGCGGAAGGACGGAAAGACCCUAUGCACCUUAACUGUAAGCUGUCACUGUUCGUUUGGUUUCUAUGCUUAGCGUAAGUGGGAGGCUUUGAAGUGUUACUUUCGGGUAACAUGGAGCCAACGAUGAAACACCACCCUUAGGUAUUGAACGAUCUAACCGCGGCCCGUAACCCGGGCGUGGGACCAUGUCAGCCGGUCAGUUUUACUGGGGCGGUAUCCUCCCAAAGAGUAACGGAGGAGCGCGAAGGUUGGCUCAGCGUGGUUGGCAAUCACGUGUUGAGUGCAUUGGCAUAAGCCAGCCUAACUGUGAGACCUACAAGUCGAACAGACACGAAAGUGGGCCAAAGUGAUCCGGCGGUUUAAUGUGGAAUUGCCGUCGCUUAACGGACAAAAGGUACGCUAGGGAUAACAGGCUGAUCUUGCCCAAGAGUUCAUAUCGACGGCAAGGUUUGGCACCUCGAUGUCGGCUCAUCGCAUCCUGGGGCUGGAGAAGGUCCCAAGGGUCCGGCUGUUCGCCGGUUAAAGCGGUACGCGAGCUGGGUUCAGAACGUCGCGAGACAGUUCGGUCCUCUAUCCUCUGUGGGCGCAGGAAAAUUGAGGGGUUUAAUUCCUAGUACGAGAGGACCGGAAUUAACGCACCUCUGGUGUUCCAGUUGUUCUGUCAAGAGCAUCGCUGGGCAGCUAUGUGCGGAAGGGAUAAGCGCUGAAAGCAUCUAAGCGCCAAGCCCAUCCCAAGAUUAAUUUUCCCUGAAGGAUCGUGGAAGACUACCACGUUGAUAGGUCCCCGGUGUAAGCGCAGUAAUGCGUUCAGCUGAGUGAUACUAAUCAUCCGUUCGU
This 1496-nucleotide ribosomal RNA is filed under the name metagenome. RNAcentral's name for it is "bacterial LSU rRNA". It matches the Rfam family "Bacterial large subunit ribosomal RNA", at positions 1343 to 2925 of the family's 2925-position model. The record is from RNAcentral.